This 1495-nucleotide ribosomal RNA is filed under the name uncultured bacterium. RNAcentral describes it as "16S ribosomal RNA". It matches the Rfam family "Bacterial small subunit ribosomal RNA". The record is from RNAcentral.
AGAGUUUGAUCAUGGCUCAGAUUGAACGCUGGCGGCAUGCUUUACACAUGCAAGUCGAACGGCAGCGGGGGCUUCGGCCUGCCGGCGAGUGGCGAACGGGUGAGUAAUGCAUCGGAACGUACCCAGUCGUGGGGGAUAACGUAGCGAAAGUUACGCUAAUACCGCAUACGUCCUACGGGAGAAAGCAGGGGCUCGCAAGACCUUGCGCGAUUGGAGCGGCCGAUGUCUGAUUAGCUAGUUGGUAGGGUAAAGGCCUACCAAGGCGACGAUCAGUAGCGGGUCUGAGAGGAUGAUCCGCCACACUGGAACUGAGACACGGUCCAGACUCCUACGGGAGGCAGCAGUGGGGGAUUUUGGACAAUGGGCGCAAGCCUGAUCCAGCCAUUCCGCGUGAGUGAAGAAGGCCUUCGGGUUGUAAAGCUCUUUCGGCAGGAAAGAAAUCGCCGCCUCUAACAUAGGCGGUGGAUGACGGUACCUGAAGAAGAAGCACCGGCUAACUACGUGCCAGCAGCCGCGGUAAUACGUAGGGUGCGAGCGUUAAUCGGAAUUACUGGGCGUAAAGCGUGCGCAGGCGGCUUUUUAAGCCAGAUGUGAAAUCCCCGGGCUUAACCUGGGAACUGCAUUUGGAACUGGAAGGCUAGAGUGCGGCAGAAGGGGGGUAGAAUUCCACGUGUAGCAGUGAAAUGCGUAGAGAUGUGGAGCCCUAAACGAUGUCAACUGGUUGUUGGGGGAGUGAAAUCCCUUAGUAACGAAGCUAACGCGUGAAGUUGACCGCCUGGGGAGUACGGUGAAUACCGAUGGCGAAGGCAGCCCCCUGGGUCGACACUGACGCUCAUGCACGAAAGCGUGGGGAGCAAACAGGAUUAGAUACCCUGGUAGUCCACGCGCAAGAUUAAAACUCAAAGGAAUUGACGGGGACCCGCACAAGCGGUGGAUGAUGUGGAUUAAUUCGAUGCAACGCGAAGAACCUUACCUACCCUUGACAUGUCCGAAACUUGCCAGAGAUGGCUUGGUGCCCGAAAGGGAAUCGGAACACAGGUGCUGCAUGGCUGUCGUCAGCUCGUGUCGUGAGAUGUUGGGUUAAGUCCCGCAACGAGCGCAACCCUUGUCCUUAGUUGCUACGCAAGGGCACUCUAAGGAGACUGCCGGUGACAAACCGGAGGAAGGUGGGGAUGACGUCAAGUCCUCAUGGCCCUUAUGGGUAGGGCUUCACACGUCAUACAAUGGUCGGUACAGAGGGUUGCCAAGCCGCGAGGUGGAGCCAAUCCCACAAAGCCGAUCGUAGUCCGGAUUGUUCUCUGCAACUCGAGAGCAUGAAGUCGGAAUCGCUAGUAAUCGCAGGUCAGCAUACUGCGGUGAAUACGUUCCCGGGUCUUGUACACACCGCCCGUCACACCAUGGGAGUGGGUUGCUCCAGAAGUAGGUAGCCUAACCGCGAGGGGGGCGCUUACCACGGAGUGAUUCAUGACUGGGGUGAAGUCGUAACAAGGUAACC